AAGUCGUAACAAGGUAACCGUAGGUGAACCUGCGGUUGGAUCAUUAAUAAAUGAAUGGUGGAUCAGGAAUCCUUCAAACUUUGGUUUGUUAAGGACUGAUUCAUCAACAACCCUCUGUGCAACUAUCUGGUAUUUUGGGCAACGCCCCUGUGGUUUUGCCCAGCUUUAUUAAAAACCCCUUUUAAAUUAAUCUUAAAUUUUAAAUAUAAAAUUAAAACAACUUUUGACAACGGAUCUCUUGGCUCUC
Molecule: unclassified non-coding RNA, 247 nt
Filed under: fungal sp.
Lineage: Eukaryota; Fungi
Description: partial internal transcribed spacer region
Rfam family: Eukaryotic small subunit ribosomal RNA (bases 1-46)
Source: RNAcentral